GGCUGGGUAGCUCAAUGGUGGAGCAACGGAUUCAUAUCCCGUAGGUUGUGAGUUCGAUCCUCACCCCAGCCA
Molecule: transfer RNA, 72 nt
Filed under: Candidatus Blackburnbacteria bacterium
Lineage: Bacteria; Candidatus Blackburniibacteriota
Description: tRNA-Met
Rfam family: tRNA
About the family: Transfer RNA (tRNA) molecules are approximately 80 nucleotides in length. Their secondary structure includes four short double-helical elements and three loops (D, anti-codon, and T loops). Further hydrogen bonds mediate the characteristic L-shaped molecular structure. tRNAs have two regions of fundamental functional importance: the anti-codon, which is responsible for specific mRNA codon recognition, and the 3' end, to which the tRNAs corresponding amino acid is attached (by aminoacyl-tRNA synthetases). tRNAs cope with the degeneracy of the genetic code in two manners: having more than one tRNA (with a specific anti-codon) for a particular amino acid; and 'wobble' base-pairing, i.e. permitting non-standard base-pairing at the 3rd anti-codon position.
Source: RNAcentral